GACGAACGCUGGCGGCGUGCCUAACACAUGCAAGUCGAGCGAAUGAAGUUCCUUCGGGAAUGGAUUUAGCGGCGGACGGGUGAGUAACACGUGGGCAACCUGCCUCAUAGAGGGGAAUAGCCUUCCGAAAGGGAGAUUAAUACCGCAUAAGAUUGUAGUAUCGCAUGAUACAGCAAUUAAAGGAGCAAUCCGCUAUGAGAUGGGCCCGCGGCGCAUUAGCUAGUUGGUGAGGUAACGGCUCACCAAGGCGACGAUGCGUAGCCGACCUGAGAGGGUGAUCGGCCACAUUGGGACUGAGACACGGCCCAGACUCCUACGGGAGGCAGCAGUGGGGAAUAUUGCACAAUGGGGGAAACCCUGAUGCAGCAACGCCGCGUGAGUGAUGACGGCCUUCGGGUUGUAAAGCUCUGUCUUCAGGGACGAUAAUGACGGUACCUGAGGAGGAAGCCACGGCUAACUACGU
This 463-nucleotide ribosomal RNA is filed under the name uncultured bacterium. Its description in RNAcentral is "partial 16S ribosomal RNA". It matches the Rfam family "Bacterial small subunit ribosomal RNA", at positions 28 to 506 of the family's 1533-position model. The record is from RNAcentral.